RNAcentral lists this ribosomal RNA (107 nucleotides) under Cinnagrostis rigescens. RNAcentral's name for it is "partial 26S ribosomal RNA". It matches the Rfam family "Eukaryotic large subunit ribosomal RNA", at positions 1 to 106 of the family's 3401-position model. Lineage: Eukaryota; Viridiplantae; Streptophyta; Magnoliopsida; Poales; Poaceae. The record is from RNAcentral.
GCGACCCCAGGUCAGGCGGGACUACCCGCUGAAUUUAAGCAUAUAAAUAAGCGGAGGAGAAGAAACUUACAAGGAUUCCCCUAGUAACGGCGAGCGAACCGGGGAAU